CUGAUAAAUACUCCCUAUUUUUAUGUUUGCGGGGAUAAUUCUAAGUUGUGUUCUACAUAGUAAUUCUCCAUAGCUACUGGAGAGUCCCUAGUGGAAUAGAGCUGCAGUUUUUCACUGCACUAACCAGAUCCACAUUCACCCCUAGAUUGUCUUUCUCUCUUCGUUUUUACACUUUCCAGUCACUCACUCUUAAUCUUUGGGAAAUAAACUCUUGUACCUAAGUGCCUGUCGCAGGUUUUGCUUUUUAGAUGGGCACAAAGCUAAGACUUCCUCUAAUCCUGAUUUUCUUAACCAGCCCACUUGAUUCACACAGUUUACCUUCUUGGCUCUGCAGGCAUUUGCAGUUGUGACCCUGUCCUAGAGAUCAUGGUUAGGGACUCACUCCAGGUAUUCUCUGCCAUGACCACCUGAGCAAGUCCUCCGAUGCUCCAGGCAAUAUUAAAGCCCUUUGCUAGUGCUGUUUCCUUGCUUUAAACCCCACUCCUGAGCCCUACACCAAUUCCCUGUUAACUUCCUUUCAUCAGCAAAUUCCUCCUCAGCCUUCAAGGCCAGGUUCAGUUUAGAUUCCUCUAUGGACCUUUCUGUAACUCUUCCACAAUUGAGCAUCUUUAAAGACUAAGGAGAAAGAGCCAGAAGAGGCAGAGAGUGCAGAGAGGAAGAAGACACUGAUGGAGUCCACUCUUUGGAGAUGAUGGGAAUAGCUUUUAUUGGUACAGAUGCAGGUGUCUACCUCCAAAAGAAGAAAGGUUCUUCCUUCUUCUCUGAGAAGAGGAUCUUGUCCACAGAGCCUGUGAUACUGGGGACUUAUAAAGUAUACUGACAAGGUGGUCUUUGAUCAAAGGUAGGCACAUACAAUGACUGAAUUUUAAAACUGUAAAUUAUUCUCCAAAGACUGUAAUAAUAGUAAAGAAACUUUCAGCUAAAGUGAUCAUUGUGUAAGAAUAUUCCUAGGCUGUCAGAAUUUUUUCUGUCAGGCAGGACUAGGGUCAGGACUUAAAGGCUGUGUUUGAAUUAUAUCUGUUCCCAUCAUAAUAAGAAACCAAAUAUAACUUUCAUAGUUAUGAUUUGGGACAUAUAAAAGAUACUCACUUAGACAUCAAAGUUAAUGUGCCUAGUAGUUAUAUUCCCAAAAGGACAGAGUUGACAAAAUACUUUAUCCAAAAGAAAUGGAGUUUUGGAAAUAGACUUGUGUAUCCAGAUCAGAGAGAGUAAUGGUUUCUCUGGAGCUUGAAUUAGCAGGAUGCAAUUUGGAGUCCA
Molecule: long non-coding RNA, 1257 nt
Filed under: Sus scrofa (pig)
Lineage: Eukaryota; Metazoa; Chordata; Mammalia; Artiodactyla; Suidae
Description: lncRNA (ENSSSCG00060060954.1)
Source: RNAcentral